AUUGAACGCUGGCGGCAUGCCUUACACAUGCAAGUCGAACGGCAGCACGGGCAACCCUGUGGCGAGUGGCGAACGGGUGAGUAACAUAUCGGAACGUGCCCUGGAGUGGGGAGUAACUAGUCGAAAGACUAGCUAAUACCGCAUACGAUCUACGGAUGAAAGUGGGGAUCGCAAGACCUCAUGCUCGUGGAGCGGCCGAUAUCUGAUUAGCA
This 212-nucleotide ribosomal RNA is filed under the name uncultured bacterium. Its description in RNAcentral is "partial 16S ribosomal RNA". It matches the Rfam family "Bacterial small subunit ribosomal RNA", at positions 30 to 246 of the family's 1533-position model. The record is from RNAcentral.